RNAcentral lists this ribosomal RNA (464 nucleotides) under uncultured bacterium. Its description in RNAcentral is "partial 16S ribosomal RNA". It matches the Rfam family "Bacterial small subunit ribosomal RNA", at positions 28 to 507 of the family's 1533-position model. The record is from RNAcentral.
GACGAACGCUGGCGGCGUGCUUAACACAUGCAAGUCGUACGGUAAGGCCCUUUCGGGGGUACACGCGUGGCGAACGGGUGAGUAACACGUGCGUAACCUGCCCACAACUUUGGGAUAACGCUAGGAAACUGGCGCUAAUAAUGGAUAUGUGCUCCUGCCGCAUGGAGGGGGUUGGAAAGAUCCGGCGGUUGUGGAUGGACUCGCGGCCGAUUAGUUUGUUGGUGGGGUGGUGGCUUACUAAGGAGGGGUUGGGUAGCCGGCCUGAGAGGGUGACCGGCCAAAUUGGGACUGAGAUACGGCCAAGACUCCUACGGGAGGAAGCAGUGGGGAAUAUUGCACAAUGGGCGGAAGCUGAUUCAGCAACGCCGCGGGCGGGAAGACGGCCUUCGGGUUGGAAACCGCUUUCAGCAGGGACGAAGCUUUGUGUGACGGUAACGGCAGAAGAAGCACCGGCUAACUACGUG